This 407-nucleotide ribosomal RNA is filed under the name uncultured bacterium. RNAcentral describes it as "partial 16S ribosomal RNA". It matches the Rfam family "Bacterial small subunit ribosomal RNA", at positions 28 to 526 of the family's 1533-position model. The record is from RNAcentral.
GACGAACGCUGGCGGCGUGCCUAAUACAUGCAAGUAGGACGCAGUUGCGAACGGGAGAGUAACGCGUAGGUAACUACCUAUUAGAGGGGGAUAACUAUUGGAAACGAUAGCUAAUACCGCAUACUAGUAGAUGGACCUGCGUUGUAUUCGCUAGUAGGUAGGGUAAUGGCCUACCUAGGCAACGAUACAUCGCCGACUGGAGAGGGGGAGCGGCCACAUUGGGAAGGAGACACGGCCCAGACUCCUACGGGAGGCAGCAGUAGGUAAUCUUAGGCAAUGGGGGGAAACCUGACCGAGCAACGCCGCGUGAGUGAAGAAGGUUUUCGGAUCGUAAAGCUCUGUUGUUAAGGAAGCGGUACUUAACCAGAAAGGGACGGCUAACUACGUGCCAGCAGCCGCGGUAAUAC